GAUGAAGAACGUAGCGAAAUGCGAUAAGUAAUGCGAAUUGCAGAAUUCAGUGAGUCUUCGAAUCUUUGAACGCACAUUGCGCCCUGUGGUAUUCCGCAGGGCAUGCCUGUUCGAGCGUCAUUUCAACCCUCAAGCCCCGCUUGGUGUUGGGCCCCGCCCGCCGUGGCCGGCCCUAAAGACAGUGGCGGCGCCGCCUGGCCCUCAGCGUAGUACAGCUCUCGCUCCAGGGUCCGGCGGCCGCCUGCCAGAACCCCCCCAACUCUGUGGUUGACCUCGGAUCAGGUAGGGAUACCCGCUGAACUUAAGCAUAUCAAUAAGCGGAGGA
Molecule: unclassified non-coding RNA, 325 nt
Filed under: soil metagenome
Description: partial contains 5.8S ribosomal RNA, internal transcribed spacer 2, and large subunit ribosomal RNA
Rfam family: 5.8S ribosomal RNA (bases 1-120)
Source: RNAcentral